RNAcentral lists this ribosomal RNA (253 nucleotides) under uncultured bacterium. RNAcentral describes it as "partial 16S ribosomal RNA". It matches the Rfam family "Bacterial small subunit ribosomal RNA", at positions 524 to 776 of the family's 1533-position model. The record is from RNAcentral.
UACGUAGGGUGCGAGCGUUAAUCGGAAUUACUGGGCGUAAAGCGUGCGCAGGCGGGCUUUUAAGCCAGACGUGAAAUCCCCGGGCUUAACCUGGGAAUGGCGUUUGGGACUGGAAGUCUGGAGUGCGGCAGAGGAGACUGGAAUUCCUGGUGUAGCAGUGAAAUGCGUAGAUAUCAGGAGGAACACCGAUGGCGAAGGCAGGUCUCUGGGCUGACACUGACGCUCAUGCACGAAAGCGCGGGGAGCAAACAGG